This 379-nucleotide ribosomal RNA is filed under the name uncultured cyanobacterium. RNAcentral describes it as "bacterial SSU rRNA". It matches the Rfam family "Bacterial small subunit ribosomal RNA", at positions 376 to 770 of the family's 1533-position model. Lineage: Bacteria; Bacillati; Cyanobacteriota. The record is from RNAcentral.
CGCAAGCCUGACGGAGCAACGCCGCGUGUGGGAAGAAGGCUCUUGGGCUGUCAACCACUUUUCUCAGGGAAGAAGUCCUGACGGUACCUGAGGAAUCAGCCUCGGCUAACUCCGUGCCAGCAGCCGCGGUAAUACGGAGGAGGCAAGCGUUAUCCGGAAUUAUUGGGCGUAAAGCGUCCGCAGGGGGCGCAUCAAGUCUGCUGUUAAAGGUCGGAGCUAAACUCCGGUUCGGCAGUGGAAACUGAAUGGCUAGAGUGCCGUAGGGGUAGAGGGAAUUCCCGGUGUAGCGGUGAAAUGCGUAGAGAUCGGGAAGAACAUCGGUGGCGAAAGCGCUCUACUGGACGGCAACUGACACUCAGGGACGAAAGCUAGGGGAGCG